CUCGCAAUUCAUAUGGUCCCAUGUUCAUUUGAUUUGAUUUUUUGUCCCAUACAAGAAUAUAUAUGGCUUACUGGUGGGGAUCUCCACCAUUUACAAGUAUUCAAACAGGAGGGGUGGUGGUGACCCCCAGGGACUUUACCUACAUUUCAUUUUAUUUGUUUUAUUGUCCCCUACAAGAAUAUAUAUGGUUUAGGGGUGGGGAUGUUGACCGUUUACAAGUUUUCAAACAAGAGGGGGUGGGAUGACCCCCUCAGGACUUCCCUUUUAUCUCAUUUUAUUUGUUUUAUUGUCCCCUACAAGAAUAUAUAUGGUUUAGGGGUGGGGAUCUGGACCAUUUACAAGAUAAUAGUACAUUCUCAAAUUGAACGGGGUGGGGGUGACCCC
Molecule: long non-coding RNA, 384 nt
Filed under: Mytilus galloprovincialis (Mediterranean mussel)
Lineage: Eukaryota; Metazoa; Mollusca; Bivalvia; Mytilida; Mytilidae
Source: RNAcentral